Molecule: ribosomal RNA, 425 nt
Filed under: uncultured bacterium
Lineage: Bacteria
Description: partial 16S ribosomal RNA
Rfam family: Bacterial small subunit ribosomal RNA
Source: RNAcentral
GUUAGGAAUCUUGCGCAAUGGGCGAAAGCCUGACGCAGCCAUGCCGCGUGAAUGAUGAAGGUCUUAGGAUUGUAAAAUUCUUUCACCGGGGACGAUAAUGAUGGUACCCGGAGAAGAAGCUCCGGCUAACUUCGUGCCAGCAGCCGCGGUAAUACGAAGGGGGCUAGCGUUGCUCGGAAUUACUGGGCGUAAAGGGCGCGUAGGUGGACAGCUUAGUCAGAGGUGAAAGCCCAGGGCUCAACCUUGGAAUUGCCUUUGAUACUGGCUGUCUUGAGUUUGGGAGAGGUGAGUGGAACUCCGAGUGUAGAGGUGAAAUUCGUAGAUAUUCGGAAGAACACCAGUGGCGAAGGCGACUCACUGGCCCAAUACUGACGCUGAGGCGCGAAAGCGUGGGGAGCAAACAGGAUUAGAUACCCCGGUAGUCC